AUUGAACGCUGGCGGCAGGCCUAACACAUGCAAGUCGAACGAGUGGCGGACGGGUGAGUAAUGUCGGGGACACUGCCUGAUGGAGGGGGAUAACUACUGAAAACGGUAGCUAAUACCGCAUACCCUCAGAUGUGCCCAUAUGGGAUUAGCUCGUAGAUGGGGUAAAGGCUCACCUAGGCGACGAUCCCUAGCUGGUCUGAGAGGAUGACCAGCCACACUGGGACUGAGACACGGUCCAGACUCCUACGGGAGGCAGCAGUGGGGAAUAUUGCACAAUGGGCGCAAGCCUGAUGCAGCCAUGCCGCGUGUAUGAAGAAGGCCUUCGGGUUGUAAAGUACUUUCAGUGGGGAGGCGUUACCGGCAGAAGAAGCACCGGCUAACUCCGUGCCAGCAGCCGCGGUAAUUC
This 406-nucleotide ribosomal RNA is filed under the name uncultured bacterium. Its description in RNAcentral is "partial 16S ribosomal RNA". It matches the Rfam family "Bacterial small subunit ribosomal RNA", at positions 30 to 526 of the family's 1533-position model. The record is from RNAcentral.